UCCCAGACUCCUACGGGAGGCAGCAGUGAGGAAUAUUGGUCAAUGGUCGGGAGACUGAACCAGCCAAGCCGCGUGAGGGAUGAAGGUACAGAGUAUCGUAAACCUCUUUUGUCAGGGAACAAAGGCGGGGACGUGUCCCCGGAUGAGUGUACCUGAAGAAAAAGCAUCGGCUAACUCCGUGCCAGCAGCCGCGGUAAUACGGAGGAUACGAGCGUUUUCCGGUGUUAUUGGGGUUAGAGGGGUCGGCGGGGGCUCUGCAAGGCCGGCGUGAAAGCCCGGGGCCCCACCGCGGGCCCGCCGUUGAAACUGGCAGUCUCGAGUUGGAGAGAAGUAUGCGGAAUGCGCGGUGUAGCGGUGAAAUGCAUAGAUAUCGCGCAGAACUCCGAUUGCGAAGGCAGCAUGCCGGCUCCACGCUGACGCUGAGGCACGAAAGCGUGGGUAUCGAACAGGAUUAGAUACCCCAGUAG
This 467-nucleotide ribosomal RNA is filed under the name uncultured bacterium. RNAcentral's name for it is "bacterial SSU rRNA". It matches the Rfam family "Bacterial small subunit ribosomal RNA", at positions 329 to 793 of the family's 1533-position model. The record is from RNAcentral.